Molecule: ribosomal RNA, 443 nt
Filed under: uncultured bacterium
Lineage: Bacteria
Description: partial 16S ribosomal RNA
Rfam family: Bacterial small subunit ribosomal RNA
Source: RNAcentral
CCUACGGGUGGCAGCAGUGGGGAAUAUUGGGCAAUGGGCGCAAGCCUGACCCAGCAACGCCGCGUGAGGGAAGAAGGCUCUCGGGUUGUAAACUUCUUUUCUCAGGGACGAAGAAAGUGACGGUACCGGAGGAAUAAGCCACGGCUAACUACGUGCAAGCAGCCGCGGUAAUACGUAGGUGGCAAGCGUUAUUCGGAUUUAUGGGGUGUAAAGGGCGUGUAGGCGGGAGCGCAAGUCAGCUGUGAAAACUCAGGGCUCAACCCUGAGCCUGCAUAUGAUACUGUGUUUCUUGAGUGAUGGAGAGGCAAUCGGAAUUCCUGGUGUAGCGGUGAAAUGCGUAGAUAUACGGAGGAACACCAGUGGCGAAGGCGGAUUGCUGGACAGUAACUGACGCUGAGGCGCGAAGGCGUGGGGAGCGAACAGGAUUAGAUACCCUAGUAGUC